CACACCUGUCACACACCUGUUACACACCUGUCACACACCUGUUACACACCUGUCACACACCUGUUACACCCCUGUUACACACCUGUUACACACCUGUCACACACCUGUCACACACCUGUUACACACCUGUUACACACCUGUUACACCCCUGUUACACACCUGUUACACACCUGUCACACACUUGUUACACACCUGUUACACACCUGUCACACACCUGUUACACACCUGUUACACACCUAUAACACACCUGUCACACCCCUGUUACACACCUGUUACACACCUGUCACACACCUGUUACACACCUGUCACACACCUGUUACACACCUGUUACACCCCUGUUACACACCUGUUACACACCUGUCACACACCUGUUACACACCUGUUACACCCCUGUUACACACCUGUUACACACCUGUCACACACCUGUUACACACCUGUCACACACCUGUUACACACCUGUCACACACCUGUCACACACCUGUCACACACCUGUCACACACCUGUUACACACCUGUUACACACCUGUUACACCCCUGUUACACACCUGUUACACACCUGUCACACACCUGUUACACACCUGUCACACACCUGUCACACACCUGUCACACACCUGUCACACACCUGUCACACACCUGUUACACACCUGUCACACACCUGUCACACACCUGUUACGCACCUGUCACACACCUGUCACACACCUGUCACACACCUGUCACACACCUGUCACACACCUGUCACACACCUGUCACACACCUGUUACACACCUGUCACACACCUGUCACACACCUGUCACACACCUGUCACACACCUGUCACACACCUGUCACACCCCUGUCACACACCUGUUACACACCUAUCACACACCUGUCACACACCUGUCACACACCUGUUACACACCUGUCACACACUUGUUACACACCUAUCACACACCUGUCACACACCUGUUACACACCUAUCACACACCUGUCACACACCUGUUACACACCUGUUACACACCUGUUACACACCUGUCACACCCCUGUUACACACCUGUUACACACCUGUCACACCCCUGUUACACACCUGUUACACACCUGUCACACACUUGUUACACACCUAUCACACACCUGUCACACACCUGUCACACACCUGUUACACACCUGUUACACACCUGUCACACCCCUGUUACACACCUGUUACACACCUGUCACACACUUGUUACACACCUAUCACACACCUGUCACACACCUGUUACGCACCUGUUACACACCUGUCACACACCUGUCACACACUUGUAACACACCUGUUACACACCUGUUACACACCUGUCACACACCUGUUACACACCUGUCACACACUUGUUACACACCUAUCACACACUUGUCACACACCUGUUACGCACCUGUUACGCACCUGUCACACACCUGUCACACCCCUGUCACACACUUGUUACACACCUAUCACACACCUGUCACACACCUGUUACGCACCUGUUACACACCUGUCACACACCUGUCACACACUUGUAACACACCUGUUACACACCUGUUACACACCUGUCACACACCUGUUACACACCUGUCACACACUUGUUACACACCUAUCACACACUUGUCACACACCUGUUACGCACCUGUUACGCACCUGUCACACACUUGUCACACACUUGUUACACACCUGUCACACACCUGUUACGCACCUGUCACACACCUAUCACACACUUGUCACACACCUGUUACACACCUGUCACACACCUGUUACACACCUGUCACACACUUGUUACACACCUAUCACACACUUGUCACACACCUGUUACACACCUGUCACACACCUGUUACACACCUGUCACACACUUGUAACACACCUAUCACACACCUGUUACACCCCUGUUACACACCUGUCACACACCUGUUACACACCUGUCACACACUUGUUACACACCUAUCACACACUUGUCACACACCUGUUACGCACCUGUUACGCACCUGUCACACACCUGUCACGCACCUGUUACGCACCUGUCACACACCUGUCACACACCUGUCACGCACCUGUUACGCACCUGUCACACACCUGUCACACACCUGUCACACACCUGUUACACACUUGUUACACACCUGUUACACACCUGUCACACACCUGUUACACACCUGUCACACACCUGUCACACACGUGUCACACACCUGUUACACACUUGUUACACACCUGUUACACACCUGUCACACACCUGUCACACACCUGUCACACACCUGUCACACACUUGUCACACACCUGUCACACACCUGUCACACACCUGUCACACACCUGUUACACACUUGUUACACACCUGUUACACACCUGUCACACACCUGUCACACCCCUGUUACGCACCUGUUACGCACCUGUCACACACCUGUUACACCCCUGUUCCACACUUGUCACACACCUGUCACACACCUGUCACACACCUGUCACACGCCUAUUACACACCUGUCACACAUGUGUCACACACUUGUCACACACCUGUCACACACCUGUCACACACCUGUCACACACCUGUUACACACUUGUUACACACCUGUUACACACCUGUCACACACCUGUCACACCCCUGUUACGCACCUGUUACGCACCUGUCACACACCUGUUACACCCCUGUUCCACACUUGUCACACACCUGUCACACACCUGUCACACACCUGUCACACGCCUAUUACACACCUGUCACACAUGUGUCACACACCUGUUACACACCUGUCACACACCUGUCACACACCUGUUACGCACCUGUCACACACCUGUCACACACCUGUCACACACCUAUUACACACCUGUCACACACCUGUUACACACCUGUCACACACCUGUCACACACCUGUUACACACCUGUCACACACCUGUUACACACCGGUUACACACCUGUCACACACCUGUCACACACCUGUCACACACCUGUUACACACCUGUCACACACCUGUCACACACCUGUCACACACCUGUUACACACCUGUCACACACCUGUCACACACCUGUCACACACCUGUCACACACCUGUUACACACCUGUCACACACCUGUCACACACCUGUUACACACCUGUCACACACCUGUUACACACCGGUUACACACCUGUCACACACCUGUCACACACCUGUCACACACCUGUCACACACCUGUCACACACCUGUUACACACCUGUCACACACCUGUUACACACCUGUCACACACCUGUCACACACCUGUCACACACCUGUCACACACCUGUUACACACCUGUUACACACCUGUUACACACCUGUCACACACCUGUCACACACCUGUCACACUGUUUUAUUGUUUUUGGUUUGA
Molecule: long non-coding RNA, 3303 nt
Filed under: Oryzias javanicus (javanese ricefish)
Lineage: Eukaryota; Metazoa; Chordata; Actinopteri; Beloniformes; Adrianichthyidae
Description: lncRNA (ENSOJAG00000013972.1)
Source: RNAcentral